AAAGCUAAAUUAUAAGGUAAAUUAAUAACUAAGAUCCAACUAAGCCACAUUUUGAGGAGUCUGAGCAAAAAGAAGAAAUACCUUAUGUGACCCUGAGGCUUUAGUGGCAUUGAAGAAGGCCCUUGUUUUAUAGAUUCACAAAAGGCAUUAGUGGAAUAGGACAGAGGAAGUGGGGCCUGACAGAGUGUUUCCAGAUUUCCUGCCACCUUUCACACUGGAAGCAAGAGAGCAGCUAACAUUAUUCAGAAAACACUGUCAUUCUCUUCCCUCCACAUCCUCACUUCUCCUUCUUCACUCACUGACGUUUUGACUGAUUAUUCUGAAAGUAAAACAUAACACAUACCUGCACAUGUGCACAUAUGUGCACACAGAGCAACUAUCUAGCAUCCGUCUACUGCUUAUCAUUUAUCCAUAUUUAUAUCUAUGAACACAUACUAUAUAUAAUACAUUAUAUAUGUAUUGUAUAUGCAUAUAAGCAUGUAUAUUCUUUAUUCUGUGUCAUGUUUACA
This 509-nucleotide long non-coding RNA is filed under the name Pan troglodytes (chimpanzee). RNAcentral's name for it is "long non-coding RNA NONPTRT001129". The record is from RNAcentral. Lineage: Eukaryota; Metazoa; Chordata; Mammalia; Primates; Hominidae.